RNAcentral lists this ribosomal RNA (253 nucleotides) under uncultured bacterium. Its description in RNAcentral is "partial 16S ribosomal RNA". It matches the Rfam family "Bacterial small subunit ribosomal RNA", at positions 524 to 776 of the family's 1533-position model. The record is from RNAcentral.
UACAGAGGGGGCAAGCGUUGUUCGGAAUUACUGGGCGUAAAGGGCUCGUAGGCGGCCAACUAAGUCGGACGUGAAAUCCCUCGGCUUAACCGGGGAACUGCGUCCGAUACUGGAUGGCUUGAGAUUGGGAGAGGGAUGCGGAAUUCCAGGUGUAGCGGUGAAAUGCGUAGAUAUCUGGAGGAACACCGGUGGCGAAGGCGGCAUCCUGGACCAACACUGACGCUGAUGAGCGAAAGCCAGGGGAGCAAACGGG